This 305-nucleotide unclassified non-coding RNA is filed under the name uncultured fungus. RNAcentral's name for it is "partial contains small subunit ribosomal RNA, internal transcribed spacer 1, and 5.8S ribosomal RNA". The stretch from base 1 to 73 matches the Rfam family "Eukaryotic small subunit ribosomal RNA", at positions 1759 to 1831 of the family's 1831-position model. The record is from RNAcentral. Lineage: Eukaryota; Fungi.
GCAAACUUGGUCAUUUAGAGGAAGUAAAAGUCGUAACAAGGUUUCCGUAGGUGAACCUGCGGAAGGAUCAUUAUUGAAUGAAACCUUUUGGCUGGAUGCUGUUGUUGCUGGCCCUUUGGGGCAAUGUGCACACUUCUCUGGUCAUUUGUUUCUUCUUUCCACCUGUGCACUGCCUGUAGACACACACUAUGUGUCUAUGAUAUUCUCAAAACCCAUAUGCACUGUAUAUUACAUGUAUAUAACCCCCCAAAAGUACAACUUUCAACAACGGAUCUCUUGGCUCUCGCAUCGAUGAAGAACGCAGC